UUAAAUUGAAGAGUUUGAUCAUGGCUCAGAUUGAACGCUGGCGGCAGGCCUAACACAUGCAAGUCGAGCGGAAACGAGUUAUCAGAACCUUCGGGGGACGAU
Molecule: ribosomal RNA, 102 nt
Filed under: Vibrio parahaemolyticus
Lineage: Bacteria; Pseudomonadati; Pseudomonadota; Gammaproteobacteria; Vibrionales; Vibrionaceae
Description: partial 16S ribosomal RNA
Rfam family: Bacterial small subunit ribosomal RNA
Source: RNAcentral